CCCUUAGAUGUUCUGGGCUGCACGCGCGCUACACUGACGCACGCAACAGGUGCCUGCUCCGAGAGGACUGGGUAAUCAUUUGAGUGUGCGUCGUGAUGGGAUAGAAUAUUGUAAUUAUUACUCUUCAACGAGGAAUUCCUAGUAAGCGCCAGUCAGCAGCUUGCGCUGAUUACGUCCCUGCCCUUUGUACACACCGCCCGUCGCUCCUACCGAUGGGUGAUCCGGUGAAUGAUUCGGACUUCAGCGGCUCCCCUGGGGUGCGCCGGAGAAAGUUUUGUGAACCUUAUCACUUGGAGGAAGGAGAAGUCGUAACA
Molecule: ribosomal RNA, 314 nt
Filed under: uncultured eukaryote
Lineage: Eukaryota
Description: partial 18S ribosomal RNA
Rfam family: Eukaryotic small subunit ribosomal RNA
Source: RNAcentral